GACGAACGCUGGCGGCGUGCCUAAUACAUGCAAGUAGAACGCUGAAGAGAGGAGCUUACUCUUCUUGGAUGAGUUGCGAACGGGUGAGUAACGCGUAGGUAACCUGCCUUGUAGCGGGGGAUAACUAUUGGAAACGAUAGCUAAUACCGCAUAACAAUGGAUGACACAUGUCAUUUAUUUGAAAGGGGCAAUUGCUCCACUACAAGAUGGACCUGCGUUGUAUUAGCUAGUAGGUGAGGUAAUGGCUCACCUAGGCGACGAUACAUAGCCGACCUGAGAGGGUGAUCGGCCACACUGGGACUGAGACACGGCCCAGACUCCUACGGGAGGCAGCAGUAGGGAAUCUUCGGCAAUGGGGGCAACCCUGACCGAGCAACGCCGCGUGAGUGAAGAAGGUUUUCGGAUCGUAAAGCUCGGUUGUAAGUCGAGAACGGGUGUGAGAGUGGAAAGUUCACACUGUGACGGUAGCUUACCAGAAAGGGACGGCUAACUACGUG
This 497-nucleotide ribosomal RNA is filed under the name uncultured bacterium. Its description in RNAcentral is "partial 16S ribosomal RNA". It matches the Rfam family "Bacterial small subunit ribosomal RNA", at positions 28 to 507 of the family's 1533-position model. The record is from RNAcentral.